This 22-nucleotide microRNA is filed under the name Human betaherpesvirus 6B. RNAcentral describes it as "hhv6b-miR-Ro6-2-3p". Its record names the gene hhv6b-miR-Ro6-2-3p. Lineage: Duplodnaviria; Heunggongvirae; Peploviricota; Herviviricetes; Herpesvirales; Orthoherpesviridae. The record is from miRBase by way of RNAcentral.
UUACAGUUUCCGCUGCCGCUGU